This 379-nucleotide ribosomal RNA is filed under the name uncultured bacterium. RNAcentral's name for it is "bacterial SSU rRNA". It matches the Rfam family "Bacterial small subunit ribosomal RNA", at positions 355 to 749 of the family's 1533-position model. The record is from RNAcentral.
UAAGGAAUCUUCCACAAUGGGCGAAAGCCUGAUGGAGCAACGCCGCGUGCAGGAUGAAGGCCCUCGGGUCGUAAACUGCUUUUAUGAGUGAAGAAUAUGACGGUAACUCAUGAAUAAGCACCGGCUAACUACGUGCCAGCAGCCGCGGUCAUACGUUGGGUGCAAGCAUUAUCCGGAGUGACUGGGCGUAAAGAGUUGCGUAGGCGGUUAGUAAAGCGAAUAGUGAAACCUGGUGGCUCAACCAUACAGACUAUUAUUCGAACUCACUAACUCUGGAGUGGUAGAGGUAACUGGAAUUGCUUGUGGAGGAGUGAAAUCCGUAGAUAUACGGAGGAACACCAAUGGCGUAGGCAGGUUACUGGACCAGUUCUGACGCUAA